RNAcentral lists this ribosomal RNA (403 nucleotides) under uncultured bacterium. RNAcentral describes it as "partial 16S ribosomal RNA". It matches the Rfam family "Bacterial small subunit ribosomal RNA", at positions 30 to 526 of the family's 1533-position model. The record is from RNAcentral.
AUUGAACGCUAGCGGCAGGCCUAACACAUGCAAGUCGAGCGAGCGGCGGACGGGUGAGUAAUGUAUGGGGACUGCCCGAUAGAGGGGGAUAACUACUGGAAACAGUGGCUAAUACCGCAUACUAUCGGAUAACCCAUAUUGGAUUAGCUAGUAGGGGGGGUAAAGGCUCACCUAGGCGACGAUCCCUAGCUGGUCUGAGAGGAAGAUCAGCCACACUGGGACUGAGACACGGCCCAGACUCCUACGGAGGCAGCAGUGGGGAAUUUUGGACAAUGGGCGAAAGCCUGAUCCAGCCAUGCCGCGUGUAUGAAGAAGGCCUUAGGGUUGUAAAGUACUUUCGGCGGGGAGGCGUUAUCUGCAGAAGAAGCACCGGCUAACUACGUGCCAGCCGCCGCGGUAAUUC